AGCGAACGCUGGCGGCAGGCUUAACACAUGCAAGUCGAGCGGGCACUUCGGUGUCAGCGGCAGACGGGUGAGUAACACGUGGGAACGUACCCUUCGGUUCGGAAUAACGCUGGGAAACUAGCGCUAAUACCGGAUACGCCCUUUUGGGGGAAGGUUUACUGCCGCAGGAUCGGCCCGCGUCUGAUUAGCUGGUUGGUAGGGUAAUGGCCUCCCAAGGCGACGAUCAGUAGCUGGUCUGAGAGGAUGAUCAGCCACACCGAGACUGAGACGCGGCCCAGAAUCCUACGGGAGGGGGGAAUGGGGGACAGUGCAACAUGGGCGCAAGGAUGAUGGAGCCAGGACGGGAGAGUGAUGUAAGCAGUAGGGAUGUAAUGCGCUUUUGACUGUGACGAUAAUGACGGUACCGGAAGAAUAAGCCCCGGCUAACUUCGUG
RNAcentral lists this ribosomal RNA (433 nucleotides) under uncultured bacterium. RNAcentral describes it as "partial 16S ribosomal RNA". It matches the Rfam family "Bacterial small subunit ribosomal RNA", at positions 29 to 507 of the family's 1533-position model. The record is from RNAcentral.